RNAcentral lists this ribosomal RNA (1056 nucleotides) under Onchidella celtica (Celtic sea slug). RNAcentral's name for it is "large subunit ribosomal RNA". The stretch from base 412 to 1056 matches the Rfam family "Archaeal large subunit ribosomal RNA", at positions 1423 to 2801 of the family's 2987-position model. The record is from RNAcentral. Lineage: Eukaryota; Metazoa; Mollusca; Gastropoda; Systellommatophora; Onchidiidae.
UUUUUUAGUUUUUAGAAUUAAAACAAAAUUUUCAUAACAGAGGUUGCCCUUACAAAAAAUUCUUGGUAGGCUUACCUUUUGCAUAAUGGUUAAACUAAAUUCAUAAUAAUUAUUAUUUCCCGAAAUAAGAAGAUCUAAGUCUUUCAAGUCAUUAGCCUGUUCCCAUUUUACUGUGGCAUUAGUAAAACAUGAGUUUGAUUUAGGGGUGAAACGCCUACAAUUCUUAUGAUAUCUGGAUUCCUGAGAAAUGUAUAUAGUACAUGAAACAGGAAAGGGGUGUUGAGAUCUCAUUCUUAAAGAAUUGUUCCUCGUUUCCUCUUUAUAGUGGGUAAAACCUUAAGUGUAUUCUUAAAUACAGGACAAAUAGGAGCUUAUAAUCUUGCGCAUAUCAGGACCAAGACCUGAACUUAUCGGUCUUUGAAUAAUGUUUAAAUUAGUAAUAUCCUUAAAUUUUAUGAAGGAACUCGGCAAAUAUUAAUCCUCAUCUGUUUACCAAAAACAUAGCCUCCAGAAUUAUAUUUGAGGUGAGCCCUGCCCAAUGAUAAUUUGAAUGGCCGCAGUACCCUGACUGUGCUAAGGUAGCGUAAUCAGUUGGCUUUUAAAUGGAGUCGUGUAUGAAUGGGUUUAUGGGGAAUAUCUGUCUCCAUGAAAAUCGACUUAACUUACUAAAAAGGUGAAAAUUCCUUUGACAGAAAAAAGACGAGAAGACCCUAGGAGUUUUUAAUAUGAAGGAACUCGUUUCUUUUAAUGUUUUUUGCUGGGGCGGCAGGGAGAGCAAUAACUAUAAAUUUAACCCUCCUGAAUAUUUCUACGACGGGACGUUUGUAAAAGGAGCGCAUGAAACUACCCUAGGGAUAACAGCAUAAUUUUUAAAAGUUUGUGACCUCGAUGUUGGACUAGGGACUUUAUGGCUAGCAGUCAGUAGAGAUUGUUCUGUUCGAACACAUUACCCUACAUGAUCUGAGUUCAGACCGGCGUAAGCCAGGUCAGUUUCUAUCUUUUUAUUAGCUACCUACAGUACGAAAGGACCCAUGUUAGCGUAAGGUUGUUUUACAU